This is a long non-coding RNA of Amphimedon queenslandica, 417 nucleotides long. RefSeq lists it as uncharacterized. NCBI's taxonomy places the organism in Eukaryota, Metazoa, Porifera, Demospongiae, Haplosclerida, Niphatidae. The transcript has 3 exons. The record is from RefSeq and is a predicted model, not a curated record.
UGAACGGGCAUGACACGGAAACAUUGAAAAUAACUUAAAAUGGCUUUUCUCUGUACUAGUAUUCCAGAGCAAUCGUCCAAACAGCAUCCAUAACUUCCAAAUUUUAUUGUGCAUUGUCAUAAACGGGAUAUUGCUGGAAAGGAAUUUUUUUCUCUAUCUGUACCGUCAAGGAUCUCAAGUUCAUUUUAGAGGGCGGAGUUGACGCCUUGUCUUCACAUUUACAUGAAUAAACAUUAAAGGAAAGGCACACAUGAUAUUGAGAUAAUUUUACAAAUAUUUAAUGGACUUGUAUGUGCCUCAGGUUUAGAAGAGGUCAUUGUGGGGGGCGGAGUCAUGUGUCCCAUCUAAUAUGGCGUUUUGGCCUUUUGUCACUUCAUUUAACCGUUUUUAAGAGUACUAUCAAGGAUCUCAAGUCCA